This 1179-nucleotide ribosomal RNA is filed under the name Staphylococcus aureus. RNAcentral's name for it is "partial 23S ribosomal RNA". It matches the Rfam family "Bacterial large subunit ribosomal RNA", at positions 328 to 1513 of the family's 2925-position model. Lineage: Bacteria; Bacillati; Bacillota; Bacilli; Caryophanales; Staphylococcaceae. The record is from RNAcentral.
AUUAGACGAAUCAUCUGGAAAGAUGAAUCAAAGAAGGUAAUAAUCCUGUAGUCGAAAAUGUUGUCUCUCUUGAGUGGAUCCUGAGUACGACGGAGCACGUGAAAUUCCGUCGGAAUCUGGGAGGACCAUCUCCUAAGGCUAAAUACUCUCUAGUGACCGAUAGUGAACCAGUACCGUGAGGGAAAGGUGAAAAGCACCCCGGAAGGGGAGUGAAAUAGAACCUGAAACCGUGUGCUUACAAGUAGUCAGAGCCCGUUAAUGGGUGAUGGCGUGCCUUUUGUAGAAUGAACCGGCGAGUUACGAUUUGAUGCAAGGUUAAGCAGUAAAUGUGGAGCCGUAGCGAAAGCGAGUCUGAAUAGGGCGUUUAGUAUUUGGUCGUAGACCCGAAACCAGGUGAUCUACCCUUGGUCAGGUUGAAGUUCAGGUAACACUGAAUGGAGGACCGAACCGACUUACGUUGAAAAGUGAGCGGAUGAACUGAGGGUAGCGGAGAAAUUCCAAUCGAACCUGGAGAUAGCUGGUUCUCUCCGAAAUAGCUUUAGGGCUAGCCUCAAGUGAUGAUUAUUGGAGGUAGAGCACUGUUUGGACGAGGGGCCCCUCUCGGGUUACCGAAUUCAGACAAACUCCGAAUGCCAAUUAAUUUAACUUGGGAGUCAGAACAUGGGUGAUAAGGUCCGUGUUCGAAAGGGAAACAGCCCAGACCACCAGCUAAGGUCCCAAAAUAUAUGUUAAGUGGAAAAGGAUGUGGCGUUGCCCAGACAACUAGGAUGUUGGCUUAGAAGCAGCCAUCAUUUAAAGAGUGCGUAAUAGCUCACUAGUCGAGUGACACUGCGCCGAAAAUGUACCGGGGCUAAACAUAUUACCGAAGCUGUGGAUUGUCCUUUGGACAAUGGUAGGAGAGCGUUCUAAGGGCGUUGAAGCAUGAUCGUAAGGACAUGUGGAGCGCUUAGAAGUGAGAAUGCCGGUGUGAGUAGCGAAAGACGGGUGAGAAUCCCGUCCACCGAUUGACUAAGGUUUCCAGAGGAAGGCUCGUCCGCUCUGGGUUAGUCGGGUCCUAAGCUGAGGCCGACAGGCGUAGGCGAUGGAUAACAGGUUGAUAUUCCUGUACCACCUAUAAUCGUUUUAAUCGAUGGGGGGACGCAGUAGGAUAGGCGAAGCGUGCGAUUGGAUUGCACGUCU